UUCCCGAGCUGGUGAGAUAUUAUGUUGGCCUACAACUGAAAUCCCUCCCAUGGAGUCCCACUUAGCCUGUGGGACUUGUUAUCCAGCACAUUUGGAGGGAACCAAUCUGGGUGAUGCAACAGUAGACUGAUACAGCCAUCCUUAGCAAGUAAGGGCAAUUUCUCUAAACAACAAAAGCCCCUACUCCAGGACAGCAAUGUGCUUUCUAUGGCCACUUAUUUAAACAAUCUAGUCUCAUCAUUCUAAUAAAUAAAGAAAGAAAGUGUACAACAGUCUGGAAGGAAACCAAAAGACAGAAGAAAAACAGGGAGUUCUAAGUGUCAAAGUAAAUAUACUGCAAAUCCAGGUCUCCUGGCAUGAGUUGGGCAUGAGAUCCAUUGUGACACUACCUGAGCUUUCAUUACACAUUGUUUGUUCUAAAUGUUCUAAAACUGGUUCAUAGAAAUGUUAUAUGCUCAUAACACUUUUUUCAAAAAACAAACAAACACUUUAAGUGGAAACAAAGGAGCAAUGAUGAAAAAAAUCUUGUUGUGAUGGAAUAACUGCUGCAGAAGUAAGGGAACUACUUGUACAUGUUCAGUGGGGGAAAGUAAGAAUUAAAUAUGAGAGGAAAGGAAGAAUUAAACAUGGUUGCUCCUCAUAUGGUUGCUUCUCUUUUGAUUCGGUUUCUGUCAACUUAUGAAUUAUGGUAUAAUGUUAAAAACUGAACUGUAGGAUCUUAUUGUCAUGCCUCUCCCCCACGAGUUCAGCUUGUGAGGAAGAAGCAGAGCUAUCUAUCAGGCCCCCUCUUGAGCAUUCAGCUUCAGAAGAUGAGGCAGACUUACCACAGCUGUGCCCUG
Molecule: long non-coding RNA, 839 nt
Organism: Sceloporus undulatus (fence lizard)
Lineage: Eukaryota; Metazoa; Chordata; Lepidosauria; Squamata; Phrynosomatidae
Exons: 3
Source: RefSeq, a predicted model, not a curated record